Molecule: long non-coding RNA, 644 nt
Organism: Aquila chrysaetos chrysaetos
Lineage: Eukaryota; Metazoa; Chordata; Aves; Accipitriformes; Accipitridae
Exons: 2
Source: RefSeq, a predicted model, not a curated record
GGCGGCUGCAGAGGAUGCUUCAGCAAGGCAGGGUAGAAAAGCGUUCCUGCCGUCCCUCGGCACGUGUCUCGGCUGAGGUUGUAUUUGCCAAAACCAGAGUUGAGGAGCAUUUGGCUGGACACCGCGGUCCAGCGGUCAUAGUCUUGUGGCGGCUGAGCGAAACCCGCUUGUGGUGCCCUGGUGCGAAGCAGGACCUGGUUUUCCCAGCUGAGUGGCCCACGGAGCAGGCAGCCCAGCGUGAUCUUGGUGCCUUUGGUGGGCGAGAGAUGUGCCUGCAGUGGGCAGGGGGAGCACUGGGACAGGAGCUGCCAGGGAACAUUGCGGGGCCACACUGGCAUGGAGGGGCCGUGCCCGGGCAGGUGGGGGCUUAAAAGGGAGUCGGGGUCCCCGGCAUCACCCAGUCGGUGUGGGGAUGCGGAGCUGGUGGGAUCGUGCCAUGGCCUGAGCCCCUCUCCUCUUUACGCUGCUCGCCCACGGCUCAGGUUCCGUGGUCCGGGCAGCGCUGACUCAGCCACCCUCGGUGUCAGCGAACGUGGGACAAACCGUCCAGAUCACCUGCUCCGGGAGUAGCAGCAGCAGCGAUGGUGUUGGCUGGUACCAGCAGAAGGUUCCUGGCAGUGCCCCUGUCACUGUCAUCUAUAGCA